Arachis stenosperma is the source of this 463-nucleotide long non-coding RNA. RefSeq lists it as uncharacterized. The record is from RefSeq and is a predicted model, not a curated record. The transcript is spliced from 4 exons. NCBI's taxonomy places the organism in Eukaryota, Viridiplantae, Streptophyta, Magnoliopsida, Fabales, Fabaceae.
AAACCCCUAUAAAAAAUCUAAUCCAACCAAAGUGUUCACCUCUUUCUCCUCUUCAUUUCUAUGUCAUUUUUCAAGGAUUAAAUCAAGAUCUCUUGUUCAAUCACCAUAGGCUCUAAGUAAACGUGAUUUCUAACUGCUUUAAGGUGUAAAAGUGCUUUUGGAAGCUUGUUCUUGGUUCAAUUCUUGGCAGCUGUAAAGGAGAUGGAAGCAUAAGUACCCUUCCGUAGUUCGCUGAUGACGUUUCACUUGACUUGAGUUUUGAAGACCUAGAACAUUCUUUCCCUCGCUUUAGUAUAUUAGAGGGACUAGGUGAGUAUAGAGUCUAGGCUAGCUUGGGUGCCAGUUUAGGGACUACUUGAAUAGAUCAGGCCUGGGAUGUUGUAUGUAUAUAUAUGUAUAUAUUUAUUACCUAGCUACUUGUACGGGUGUUCUAACUAAGAUCUAUGAUCUAAUAAAGGCUGGA